Molecule: ribosomal RNA, 733 nt
Filed under: Bacillus sp. AU27
Lineage: Bacteria; Bacillati; Bacillota; Bacilli; Caryophanales; Bacillaceae
Description: bacterial SSU rRNA
Rfam family: Bacterial small subunit ribosomal RNA
Source: RNAcentral
AGUCGAGCGGACAGAAGGGAGCUUGCUCCCGGAUGUUAGCGGCGGACGGGUGAGUAACACGUGGGUAACCUGCCUGUAAGACUGGGAUAACUCCGGGAAACCGGAGCUAAUACCGGAUAGUUCCUUGAACCGCAUGGUUCAAGGAUGAAAGACGGUUUCGGCUGUCACUUACAGAUGGACCCGCGGCGCAUUAGCUAGUUGGUGAGGUAACGGCUCACCAAGGCGACGAUGCGUAGCCGACCUGAGAGGGUGAUCGGCCACACUGGGACUGAGACACGGCCCAGACUCCUACGGGAGGCAGCAGUAGGGAAUCUUCCGCAAUGGACGAAAGUCUGACGGAGCAACGCCGCGUGAGUGAUGAAGGUUUUCGGAUCGUAAAGCUCUGUUGUUAGGGAAGAACAAGUGCAAGAGUAACUGCUUGCACCUUGACGGUACCUAACCAGAAAGCCACGGCUAACUACGUGCCAGCAGCCGCGGUAAUACGUAGGUGGCAAGCGUUGUCCGGAAUUAUUGGGCGUAAAGGGCUCGCAGGCGGUUUCUUAAGUCUGAUGUGAAAGCCCCCGGCUCAACCGGGGAGGGUCAUUGGAAACUGGGAAACUUGAGUGCAGAAGAGGAGAGUGGAAUUCCACGUGUAGCGGUGAAAUGCGUAGAGAUGUGGAGGAACACCAGUGGCGAAGGCGACUCUCUGGUCUGUAACUGACGCUGAGGAGCGAAAGCGUGGGGAGCGAACAGG